UACGUAGGUGGCGAGCGUUGUCCGGAAUUACUGGGUGUAAAGCGCGUGUAGGCGGGAGGCCAAGUCUGCGGUGAAAUCGCUCGGCUCAACUGGGCGGGGUCCGUGGAAACUGGUCACCUGGAGGACGGUAGAGGCGAGUGGAAUUCCCGGUGUAGUGGUGAAAUGCGCAGAUAUCAGGAGGAACACCAAUUGCGAAGGCAGCUCGCUGGGACGUUACUGACGCUGAGACGCGAAAGCGUGGGGAGCAAACAGG
Molecule: ribosomal RNA, 253 nt
Filed under: uncultured bacterium
Lineage: Bacteria
Description: partial 16S ribosomal RNA
Rfam family: Bacterial small subunit ribosomal RNA
Source: RNAcentral